UGAGGAAUAUUGGACAAUGGAGGCAACUCUGAUCCAGCCAUGCCGCGUGCAGGAAGACUGCCCUAUGGGUUGUAAACUGCUUUUANACGGGAAGAAACACCGCUACGUG
RNAcentral lists this ribosomal RNA (109 nucleotides) under uncultured bacterium. RNAcentral's name for it is "partial 16S ribosomal RNA". It matches the Rfam family "Bacterial small subunit ribosomal RNA", at positions 355 to 462 of the family's 1533-position model. The record is from RNAcentral.